UCCAUGAUUCCUGGCCUUAGUGAAAUCAGUGACAAAAUGCUAACUAGCUACAGUGCUACUGGAUCCAAUAUUGAUGGCAAACACUUAGGCUCCAGAUGACAUUGUGCUUGCAAGAGAGCUCAGCCCAGCAACUUAGGGACAGGGCUGACAAUUCAUGUGGCAGGAAUUGAGAUCACCUGUCAGCCUGAUGAAACAGCUGAUGAAUCAAAACUGGAAGUUUAAAGGGGAGGAUGAAGUAUUCUGUCCUCCCAUAUUACAGAAGUGGACUAAAUCCAAGGGAAAAAAGGGUUGGAGAACACAAUGCAGCACAAAGCAAGCCUUGCAAAUAUUGCAGCCUGGGAGAUUUCUCUUUGGAUGAUCAGACAGGAACAGGACAGGAUGGAAGAAAACCAGAGAGGACAAAUGAAGAGGCACUGCUGGAGUGUUACUAGAAAAAGAGAAACAGAAGAGCACAUUUAUCUACAAAAGAGACCAUGAAG
Manacus vitellinus (golden-collared manakin) is the source of this 479-nucleotide long non-coding RNA. RefSeq lists it as uncharacterized. The record is from RefSeq and is a predicted model, not a curated record. NCBI's taxonomy places the organism in Eukaryota, Metazoa, Chordata, Aves, Passeriformes, Pipridae. The transcript has 4 exons.